UCCUACGGGAGGCAGCAGUGAGGAAUAUUGGGCAAUGGGCGCAAGCCUGACCCAGUAAUGCCGCGUGAAGGAUGAAGGUUUUCGGAUUGUAAACUUCUUUUGUCAAGGACGAUAGUGACGGUACUUGACGAAUAAGCCACGGCUAACUACGUGCCAGCAGCCGCGGUAAU
This 170-nucleotide ribosomal RNA is filed under the name uncultured bacterium. RNAcentral describes it as "partial 16S ribosomal RNA". It matches the Rfam family "Bacterial small subunit ribosomal RNA", at positions 337 to 524 of the family's 1533-position model. The record is from RNAcentral.